UCUCCGUAGGUGAACCUGCGGAGGGAUCAUUACAGAGUUCAUGCCCUACCGGGUAGGUCUCCUACCCUAUGUUAUUAUUACUUUGUUGCUUUGGCGGGCCGUUAGGCUCCGGCCCGACUACCGGCCCCGGCUGGUAAGCGCCCGCCAGAGGACCCAAAACCCUGAAUAUUAGUGUCGUCUGAGUACUAUAUAAUAGUUAAAACUUUCAACAACGGAUCUCUUGGUUCUG
Molecule: unclassified non-coding RNA, 229 nt
Filed under: plant metagenome
Description: partial contains small subunit ribosomal RNA, internal transcribed spacer 1, and 5.8S ribosomal RNA
Source: RNAcentral